CCCUCCGUAGCCGUAUAGCAGCUUGCCACGACCAUUCUCGUCAUAGUACGGAUAUCGGUAGUUCGGCCUGUAAAUAUAUUAGCUAAAAAAGAUCUUGGACUCUAGUAUGUGAUAGCAAUUUCAGUUUGAUAUCUCUACGCAUUCCUGAUAAAAAGGGGCUUAACAAACAGAGUGAUCCUAUAAGGGUUCCUCUUGAAGAACGGAACCCUAAAUAUGGUAAAAAUUCAGAUGAAAUCUCACCAUUCAUAAUAAAUAAAAAUACUUUGGUGUCGUAAGCAUUUU
Molecule: long non-coding RNA, 282 nt
Organism: Manduca sexta (tobacco hornworm)
Lineage: Eukaryota; Metazoa; Arthropoda; Insecta; Lepidoptera; Sphingidae
Exons: 2
Source: RefSeq, a predicted model, not a curated record